Eptesicus fuscus (big brown bat) is the source of this 849-nucleotide long non-coding RNA. RefSeq lists it as uncharacterized. The transcript has 3 exons. Lineage: Eukaryota; Metazoa; Chordata; Mammalia; Chiroptera; Vespertilionidae. The record is from RefSeq and is a predicted model, not a curated record.
CACCGCACCUCCCAAGCAGGCAUACAAGACCACCCAACCAGCCCCAUUCGCGUCCUGAGGAGCUGGAGGCCUGUCGCUGUCCGUGGUUCUGAAUCUCCCCAUCGCCUCUCCCAGUCUGGACAGCGUCCAUUCCCACCCAGAGGUCUCCCCGGAUGACCGAGAACCACAUGAAGAAGCUGGCAAACCGGGGGAGCGAGGCGGAGUGAUGUCUGCGACGCUGGGCAAGUGUUGACAGGCACAGGGCGGCCGGGCCGGAGGCGGACACGGGCUGGGCUGAGAGUGACCGCCUGAGCAGAGGGAACCGAAGAGUGUCUAGCUUUCCUGUUUCAUUUCCCGUCUGAUGAAAAGGUGGUGCGUUUUCACACUGUCAGAGGGCAAUCAGAGCUGCGACUUCUCUUUCCCGGGGCCCACGCGGCUUCAUGUGCUCCUGACAGCUCCAUCACACCUCUCUCAGUUUCAGCAUUUUGUUUCCCUCUGGAAACGUGGCAGAGGAUAACCCUCCGUUUCCCUGGCACAGGUCAGGCUCAGCGGCCUCAUUCCUGGCAUACACAUGACCCCCACCCCCAUGUUCCAGGCCCAGCUCCUCUGUCUCCCCCACAGGACAUGGCAGGGCAGGAAGGACCACGCUCAUCGCAGUAUCCCCAGCAGCUGGCACAGAGCCUGUCGAUCCAUUCACUUUGGUCCCUUCCCUUCCAUAUGAAUGAGCUGAGCCAAACAAUGCAUGGCCAGCAGCCCUGUCCGGGUGGCUCAGUUGAUUAGAGCGUCAUCCCAAGAUGCCAAGGUUGUGGAUUUGACCUCCGGUCGGGCCAUAUACAAGAAGCAACCAAUAAAUGCAUCAAGGAGUGGAAG